ACGCUCGACACCUACGGGAGGCAGCAGGGAAUCUUCCACAAUGGACGCAAGUCUGAUGGAGCAACGCCGCGUGAGUGAAGAAGGUUUUCGGAUCGUAAAGCUCUGUUGUUGGUGAAGAAGGAUAGAGGUAGUAACUGGCCUUUAUUUGACGGUAAUCAACCAGAAAGUCACGGCUAACUACGUGCCGGCAGCCGCGGUAAUCUGAGCGGGCUGGCAAGGC
This 220-nucleotide ribosomal RNA is filed under the name uncultured bacterium. Its description in RNAcentral is "partial 16S ribosomal RNA". It matches the Rfam family "Bacterial small subunit ribosomal RNA", at positions 328 to 539 of the family's 1533-position model. The record is from RNAcentral.